This 253-nucleotide ribosomal RNA is filed under the name uncultured bacterium. Its description in RNAcentral is "partial 16S ribosomal RNA". It matches the Rfam family "Bacterial small subunit ribosomal RNA", at positions 524 to 776 of the family's 1533-position model. The record is from RNAcentral.
UACGGGGGGGGCAAGCGUUGUUCGGAAUCACUGGGCGUAAAGGGUGCGUAGGCGGGUCUUUAAGUCAGGGGGGAAAUCCUGGAGCUCAACUCCAGAACUGCCUUUGAUACUGAGGAUCUUGAGUUCGGGAGAGGUGAGUGGAACUGCGAGUGUAGAGGUGAAAUUCGUAGAUAUUCGCAAGAACACCAGUGGCGAAGGCGGCUCACUGGCCCGAUACUGACGCUGAGGCACGAAAGCGUGGGGAGCAAACAGG